ACUUGAUGAACGUUCGCAUAAUGUUGAUAGAAAACGUUCUUAGAACAAUAUACUCAGAACAUCCAUAUAAUGUAAGUAUUUAUGUUCUCAUAAUAUAUCACGCACGGACAUUUCAGGACUCGCAUUUUGAGCUGAAUCAGACUCUCAAUUCCUGACGCCACUGAAUCGAAUCUUUUUGGAAUCGUUUACUGUCUUGAUUCUCGAGUCUGUUCUUUCCCCUCCCCCACUGCCUCACUGCAGCUCUUCUCUUGCGCGCGCAGCAGCAGAGAGCGUCCGUUAUUUUCUGAGGCUGAGAAAACGCUCGAAUUCAUAAUACUAUUUUAAAUAACAUAUAUGCCAGAACAUAACAUCAGAAUUUCAAAGUUGUAUAUUUUUUUUAUUCUUUUUCCAAAGUGUUUAUUUUUUAGCCUGACGUUGCGAGCCGUUCCUUCCCGCUCCUGCUCCAUUCAAAUCUUGCGCGCGCUGACAGGGUCCGGUAUUUUCAUCAUAGAGAGAUUUACACAUAGGAUUUACAUCAUAAGAAGGCCGCUGCCUUUCAGUUAUUGCGCGCGCUGACAGCGUCCUGUAUUUUCAGAGAUGCUUCAAAUACAGCACUGAAGGAAGAACUGCACCUCAUUCUUGCAAGGCAGACAAGGACAGAAAAAGGCCAGGUGAUAAAUGCUGCUAUUCUUCUCUAAUACUGUUGCUCUUUAAAGAACAUGGUCAUCAAUCAGAAUCCUCCAUUCCCAGCUCCAACCAGUCAUCUGAAGGACUGCGGCGAUGGAAACCCUUUGAACCACAAGUGGCAGUUUCCACCGGAUGAGAAAGGACAUGGCAUGGGAAAAGGUUCGCCCACUGGACCGAGGAGGCAAGACGCAUGACUGAAGGGACAUUACGACCUCUUUACAGGAGUUUUCCAGGAUUAACACAUGACUUGCCACAACAUGUUGUUGCUGAGAGGAACCGAAUGUUGUCCAACCAGGCUAUGGUGGACUUAAUUGUGGCAAGAGGAACCGAUAACCACAUUCAGUCCAUCAUCAAUGGACAAAAAAAAUCAAAAUGGCUUGACACUUUUUCCAAGUGUUCCAUCAAGAAAGUGCCUGUGCUCAUGACUGCGAAUGUCACGAGCCAUAGCAGGCCACCAGAACCGUUGUUUGACCAAAAAACUGGUGCGAUUAACCCCUGGAUCGGAGCUGAUCUUCUGUCGGAGAACAUCUCCAAGAUGCUUCGCAUGCUACUAUGACUAGUAAGUCAAACCUCAAAUCACAGUCUGUGUUCUGCCCACUUAAUUGAUAGAAAUGUGAGUGUAGUACAGUCUAUAGAAACUGUGUCUAUUCCCCAAAUAGUGAGGUUUAACAAGAAAAAUAAAGGAUCUAGAAAAAAUCUGAUCGUGAUCAAACCAGAAAUUCACAAAAUUACUGAACAGAAACAAUUUCUAAUGCUAAUGCUACUAAACAUUAGAUCACUAACACCUAAGGCGGUUAUUAUAAAUGAAAUGAUCACAGAUAAUAGUCUUGAUUUAAUUUGCCUUACUAAAACAUGGCUAAUGAUUAACCAAAUGAUUAUUUUGGUCUUAAUGAGUCUUGUCCACCUGGCUACUGUUAUAAAAAUAAAUGCCAUCUGAUUGGCCGUGGUGUUGCAACAAUCUAUAGAGAUAAUCUUAAUGUUACUCAGAAAACAAACUAUAGGUUUAAUUCAUUUGAAAUUCUUAUGCUAAAUGUUACACUCUCAGAUAUAAGUAAAAAGUCACUACUAUCUCUUGCUUUAGCUACCGUUUAUAGACCUCCAGGGCCUUAUGCUGAUUUCCUAAAAGAGUUUGCAGACUUUCUCUCAGACCUAUUGGUCAACGUCGAUAAAGUGCUGAUUGUUGGAGAUUUUAACAUUCAUGUUGACAAUACAAAUGAUACGUUAGGGGCUGCGUUUACUGAUUUACUAAACUCCUUUGGGGUCAAACAAAACGUCACUGGACCCACUCACCGUUUUAAUCAUACACUAGAUUUAAUGAUAUCACAUGGAAUCAAUCCAACCGAUAUAGAAAUUCUACCGCAAAGUGAUGACUUCUCUGAUCACUACCUUGUAACAUGCGUACUGCAUACUGAUGAUAUUUGUCAAAUUGCGCAAUAUCGACUAGGCAGAACAAUUCUCCCGACAACUAUAGAUAAAUUCACAAAUAACCUGCCUGAUCUGUCUCAGCUGCUCAUCGUACCUAAACACACAAAUGAUCUCGAGAAAAUGACUAGCAGCAUGUGCACCAUUUUCACUAGUACAUUAGACACUGUUGCACCGAUGAGAUUAAAAAAGGUUAGAGAGAAAAAUACUGUACCUUGGUACAACAGUAUUACUCGCGCUAUCAAAAAAGAAACUCGCAAUUUAGAACGCAAAUGGAGACAAACUCGUUUAGAGGUCUUCAGAAUCGCGUGGAAAGACAGCUCGUCCCGUUAUAGAAAGACUCUAAAAGCAGCCAGGGCUGAGCAUCUCCGCAAACUCAUAGAAAAUAACCAAAACAAUCCACGGUUCGUGUUUAGUACAGUGGCUAGAUUAACAAAUAAACAGACAUCACCUGAACAAAACAUUUCAUUGCAAUUUAGUA
Long non-coding RNA from Megalobrama amblycephala (Wuchang bream), 2569 nucleotides. RefSeq lists it as uncharacterized. The record is from RefSeq and is a predicted model, not a curated record. Lineage: Eukaryota; Metazoa; Chordata; Actinopteri; Cypriniformes; Xenocyprididae. The transcript has 7 exons.